UUGUGUUUUGGUCUGUUGUUCUCAUACUAUAUGCAAUAGGUCUACUAUAUUUGUUGUAUGGAAUGAUUGUAAGGUGUACAUGUCUAGCGGGCAGAUGUCAUGUGACCUUGACCUCAUUUUCAUGGUUCAGUGGUCAAAGUUAAGUUUUUUGAAUUUUGGUCUUUUUAUCUAAUACUAUAUGCCAUAGGUCAACUAUAUUUGGUGUAUGGAAAUAUUUUAUGAUCUUUAUGUCAGUCGCGCAGGUUUUAUUUGACCGUGACCUCAUUUUCAUGGUUCAUUGCACAGUGUUAGGUUUUUGUGUUUUGGUCUAUUUUUCUUAAACUAUGAGUAAUAGGUCAACUAUAUAUGUUGUAUAGAAGCAUUGUUAGCUGUACAUAACUGCCUGGCAUGGUUCAUCUGACCUUGACCUCAUAUUCAAGAUUCAUUGGUCUUUGUUUAGUUAUCUUGGUUAAUGUUAAGUUUAUGGUACAGUUGUUAUACAGCUUAGUUUUAUACUUAGGACUAUCAACAUGAUAUCAAUGAUUAGUAUAGAAGGCGAGACAUUUCAGUGUGUGCACUCUU
RNAcentral lists this long non-coding RNA (561 nucleotides) under Mytilus galloprovincialis (Mediterranean mussel). The record is from RNAcentral. Lineage: Eukaryota; Metazoa; Mollusca; Bivalvia; Mytilida; Mytilidae.